Molecule: small RNA, 107 nt
Filed under: Marmota monax (woodchuck)
Lineage: Eukaryota; Metazoa; Chordata; Mammalia; Rodentia; Sciuridae
Source: RNAcentral
GCUGGGCGUGGUGGCUCACACCUGUAAUCCCAAAUACUUGGGAGGCUGAGGCAGGAGGAUCUCAAGUUCAAGGUCAGUCUGAGCAAUUCAACAUGACCCUGUUUCGA